Long non-coding RNA from Spinacia oleracea (spinach), 765 nucleotides. RefSeq lists it as uncharacterized. NCBI's taxonomy places the organism in Eukaryota, Viridiplantae, Streptophyta, Magnoliopsida, Caryophyllales, Amaranthaceae. The record is from RefSeq and is a predicted model, not a curated record. The transcript has 2 exons.
UACGAUCCUACGAUCCAGAAUUUGCAAAUCGAUCCGGGUCGUAGCUGAAAUCGUAACUGCGUCAGGAUCGUUAGUGGAAUCGUUCGGGAUCGUUCAGAAUCGGUAGGAUCGUAUUGAAUCGCGAUCCUAUCAACGAUUCUAACGAUCCAGCUUUUAACCUUUUCAAUGAAGCCCAAGUUUGAGAGAAGCCUGUUUGAAGCCCAAUACAAAGCAAAAGAAACCUACGCGACCUUUCUCAGUCGUACGAUGGCACCUUUGAAUCGUCUCCUCCACCUCGCCCCUCUUCUUUGCUCGAAUUUAAGCUCCAUAGUCGUAUCCAAAGAUUAAUUGAAGCUCGAAUCCAGGCAUCUGACAUCCCUUCUCUUUAGUAAAUGAAUCAAAGAUCUCUUUUUACAAACGAGUUCAAUCAACAAGUAGGUUAAUUACAGGUUUUGAAUAUGGAAAGUUCUGCCAAAAAAAGGGAAAAUGGUUAAGAAAUUAUGAUGAUGUCAAUCUCAAGGGAAAGGGAACAUCUGGGGAAUUAAGCAAUUUUUUGACGACCGAAAUUUUGGCUAGGAUGAAAAUUAGUUUGUGUUGUUAGGUAUUUAGAUUAAUUACUAGAAGUUGUAAAUAUAGUGCUUAAAAAAUAUUUUAUUUUCCUUGUAUUCUUUGGAAUUGUAAGCUUUAAAAUAAUAAUCGUAGAACUGUGUUACCAUGUAUUAAUGUAUGACACUAAUAUCGAUCUUAUGUGAGCAAAAGUUUUUUUUGGUUGUUUUUAUUAGAAAA